This is a non-coding RNA of Macaca mulatta (Rhesus monkey), 467 nucleotides long. Lineage: Eukaryota; Metazoa; Chordata; Mammalia; Primates; Cercopithecidae. The record is from RefSeq and is a predicted model, not a curated record.
AGCAAAAUUCAAUAAUUAUGUUAAUAUCAACAUUUUCACAAACUUGUCUUCUGUUGACAGUAAUGCUCUAAAGCAGGGGUCCCCAAGCCCCAAGGUGCAGACCAGCUCUCUGCUAGGAACUGGGGCGCAUAGCAGGAGGUGAGCGGCAGAGAAGUCUUUUCCUAAAGAAGUCAUAAUUUAACAAAUUAAAAGUAUCUAAGCUCUUCUGCCAUUCAAAUCCUUCCUGCUUUCUGAGCAGCAACCACCUCCAAUGUCCUCAGGCACAGAGACGCAAAAUUUCCAGGCUCAGAGUGUUUCAAGGGCGGGGCAAGAGUUGUGAAUGUGUGUAUCCCUGGGCUUGCAUGGUGUUGGUAAGAAUGAAUAUUUGGGGUAUGGAUUGCACUGUGUCUGUGUUGAGGACCUGAUCCCAGAUGAUAGAGACCACCUUUGUGUUUGUUAGGAAAUAUUUAUGUGUGUGUGUGUGUGUG